CCCUUCCGCACUCUAGCCUUGCAGUAUCAGCUGCUGUUCUUCCGUUAAGCAGAAGGCUUUCACAACUGACUUACAAGGCCGCCUACGUGCUCUUUACGCCCAAUAAUUCCGAGCAACGCUUGCCGCCUCUGUAUUACCGCGGCUGCUGGCACAGAGUUAGCCGUGGCUUCCUCCGGAGCCUUAGUCAAGUAAGGAUACUAUUAACACCCUUA
This 212-nucleotide ribosomal RNA is filed under the name uncultured anaerobic ammonium-oxidizing bacterium. RNAcentral's name for it is "partial 16S ribosomal RNA". The record is from RNAcentral.